GACGAACGCUGGCGGCGUGCUUAACACAUGCAAGUCGAACGGAAAGGCCCUGCUUUUGUGGGGUGCUCGAGUGGCGAACGGGUGAGUAACACGUGAGUAACCUGCCCUUGACUUUGGGAUAACUUCAGGAAACUGGGGCUAAUACCGGAUAGGAGCUCCUGCUGCAUGGUGGGGGUUGGAAAGUUUCGGCGGUUGGGGAUGGACUCGCGGCUUAUCAGCUUGUUAGUGGGGUAGUGGCUUACCAAGGCUUUGACGGGUAGCCGGCCUGAGCGGGUGACCGGCCACCUGGGGACUGAGAGACGGCCCAGACUCCUACGGGAGGCAGCAGUGGGGAAUAUUGCACAAUGGGGGGAAGCCUGAUGCAGCAACGCCGCGUGCGGAAUGACGGCCUUCGAGUUGUAAACCACUUUCGCCUGUGACGAAGCGUGAGUGACGGUAAUGGGUAAAGAAGCACCGGCUAACUACGUG
RNAcentral lists this ribosomal RNA (468 nucleotides) under uncultured bacterium. RNAcentral's name for it is "partial 16S ribosomal RNA". It matches the Rfam family "Bacterial small subunit ribosomal RNA", at positions 28 to 507 of the family's 1533-position model. The record is from RNAcentral.